CAGGCGGGGCAGGGCGGCGAGGAGGCCGACGCUCCAGUCAGAGGAGGGGGGGACAGACACACGGACCGGAGCGGAGAACGGACGUACACACGCAAGCAGAGCGGGGUGGACUGACCAGAUGUCAGGGAAGGACAGCCGGACAGGUUGGACAGAGGCAGGGGGCAGGGGGACCACGUCAGGGUCAGUGAGUGAGCAGAGGGCAGAAUGGCAGGUGGGGGCGGCAGACGGGUACAGCAUGGCAGGGGCUCCCGUUCCUAGUUGCAGCUCGGCCCUGGCAGACACAGGCCUGCUCUGGGGUGAUUCUUGGCCUGGGGAAGGGACCUGACUUCCAGAACCAGCUCUGCCCAAACCCUGCUUUGGGGCCUCGGAUUCAUCAAUAGCAACAAAGAGAAAACUGACAAGGAAGAUGACAAAAAAGUGUCUAUGAGGAAACUGGCUUGGUGAUGUUAAGACAUGUGCCUCUACUUCUAAGGGAAGGGAGCUGCCUGACAUCCAAGAAAAUUGACUACAAGAAUUCAUGCUCAAAACUACGAGAUCACCUGGAUGGGGACUGAGUUUUCUAGGACAGUUAUAUUAGAGCUAAAACCCGGAUAUUCCUGUGCAAACCAGGAUUUGCAGGAAUGGUCUCCGCUGUGUUUAGGUGUAGGUAACUGUCUUCACCAGAGGUGUGCCCAAUACACGCAGGAGUUUUUCUUUAGGGCUAUUGUCACUAAGUUCUAAGUGUUGCAUUUGCAACAGAUCACUUUUCCCACUUCGCUAUGACCUGCAAGACAUUGGUUGCAUUAUGUGGUGCCCCAGGCAGGGCUUUAUUAGCUCCUUCUGGAUGCUCUGUGCCUGUAAGUCUUUCUCUGCUCAGCUAGGAAAAGUUUGAGCUCAGAGGUGGCAUUUUGUUUGUUUCCUUUGAUGGGAAGAUUGACUUCCGGUCUAGAGCUGCAUCUGAAAAAACUGCCUUUUGCACCCCAGCUUCCUGUGUAACAGCACUAAACAUCCCCCCAGCAGUCAUUACUUGGGCUCGUCGUAAAUUAACUCCAGUUCUGCACCCUUAGUUAAAAGCACAUUGCAAAGAACUGUGAAGCACCUCUCCCAGACAGGACAGAUGACUGCUGGAAGGGCUGAAAUUGGCCUCAUCUGUUUCUCUUCUAUCCUUGAGAAAGAGCAGCAGUGCAGACUUCUAUGUGGGUCACCUACCUGGAAAACCAGUUUUCCCUCAUUCAUAGAAUGUAAUUGUUUUGAUCUGGAAAGUAGCUGGGAAGUUGAGGGUAAAGAACUCCAAAGGCUAAGAGGUAUAGGAAUCACAGACCAAGUGCAAAGAAAGCCUUUCAGAAGCAAACGCAUAAUAAAGUUAAUUAGCUUCCCAAUAAUGGCUUUUCAAAAAGUAAUGACUUCAGAAGCAAUCUAGAGCUGAUCAUGGUGGGGCAUGCUUGUAAUUCUGGUACUUGGGAGGUUGCAGCAUGAAGAUUAUGAUGAGUUCAAGGCGAGUCUGGGUAACAUAGCAAGACCUUGUCUCAAAAAGUAAUUUAAAAGUGUUG
Long non-coding RNA from Fukomys damarensis (Damara mole-rat), 1529 nucleotides. RefSeq lists it as uncharacterized. The transcript has 4 exons. The record is from RefSeq and is a predicted model, not a curated record. NCBI's taxonomy places the organism in Eukaryota, Metazoa, Chordata, Mammalia, Rodentia, Bathyergidae.